AGCACUCCUACGGGAGGCAGCAGUGGGGAAUAUUGCACAAUGGGCGCAAGCCUGAUGCAGCCAUGCCGCGUGUAUGAAGAAGGCCUUCGGGUUGUAAAGUACUUUCAGCAGUGAGGAAGGUGGGUAUGUUAAUAGCAUAUUCAUUUGACGUUUAGCUGCAGAAGAAGCACCGGCUAACUCCGUGCCAGCAGCCGCGGUAAUACGGAGGGUGCGAGCGUUAAUCGGAAUUACUGGGCGUAAAGCGCAUGCAGGUGGUUGUUAAGUCAGAUGUGAAAGCCCGGGGCUCAACCUCGGAAUUGCAUUUGAAACUGGCAAACUAGAGUACUGUAGAGGGGGUAGAAUUUCAGGUGUAGCGGUGAAAAUGCGUAGAGAUCUGAAGGAAUACCGGUGGCGAAGGCGGCCCCCUGGACAGAUACUGACACUCAGAUGCGAAAGCGUGGGGAGCAAACAGGAUUAGAUACCCUGGUAG
This 469-nucleotide ribosomal RNA is filed under the name uncultured bacterium. RNAcentral describes it as "bacterial SSU rRNA". It matches the Rfam family "Bacterial small subunit ribosomal RNA", at positions 332 to 793 of the family's 1533-position model. The record is from RNAcentral.